RNAcentral lists this ribosomal RNA (506 nucleotides) under uncultured bacterium. Its description in RNAcentral is "partial 16S ribosomal RNA". It matches the Rfam family "Bacterial small subunit ribosomal RNA", at positions 28 to 507 of the family's 1533-position model. The record is from RNAcentral.
GACGAACGCUGGCGGCGUGCUUAACACAUGCAAGUCGAACGGUGAAGGGACUGGUUUUGCUGGUCCUGGAUGAGUGGCGAACGGGUGAGUAACACGUGAGUAACCUGCCCCCUUCUUCUGGAUAACCGCAUGAAAGUGUGGCUAAUACGGGAUAUUCUGGGUCUGUCGCAUGGUGGGCCUGGGAAAGAUUGCGCCUUUUUUGGUGUUUUUGGUGGGGGAUGGGCUCGCGGCCUAUCAGCUUGUUGGUGGGGUGAUGGCCUACCAAGGCGGUGACGGGUAGCCGGCCUGAGAGGGUGGACGGUCACACUGGGACUGAGACACGGCCCAGACUCCUACGGGAGGCAGCAGUGGGGAAUAGUGCACAAGGGGCGCAAGCCUGAUGCAGCGACGCCGCGUGAGGGAUGGAGGCCUUCGGGUUGUGAACCUCUUUCGCCAGUGAAGCAGGCCUGCCUCUUUUUGUGGGUGGGUUGACGGUAGCUGGAUAAGAAGCGCCGGCUAACUACGUG